Non-coding RNA from Phodopus roborovskii (desert hamster), 141 nucleotides. RefSeq annotates it as small Cajal body-specific RNA 21. The record is from RefSeq and is a predicted model, not a curated record. NCBI's taxonomy places the organism in Eukaryota, Metazoa, Chordata, Mammalia, Rodentia, Cricetidae. The transcript has a single exon.
AGACUAAGAUUUCCUGGGAUGUGGGCUUAGCCUACCCCAUUUCCCCUCAGCAGAGCCUAGAAUAAAAAGGCCAAGCCUGCUUCCUCAUGGGAUGAGUGUUUGAGGAAGGAGCUUCACCCAGGGUAGCCCAGCCUCACAUUU